Molecule: ribosomal RNA, 492 nt
Filed under: uncultured bacterium
Lineage: Bacteria
Description: partial 16S ribosomal RNA
Rfam family: Bacterial small subunit ribosomal RNA
Source: RNAcentral
AGUGAACGCUGGCGGUAGGCCUAACACAUGCAAGUCGAACGGCAGCACAGUAAGAGCUUGCUCUUACGGGUGGCGCGUGGCGGACGGGUGAGGAAUACAUCGGAAUCUACUUUUUCGUGGGGGAUAACGUAGGGAAACUUACGCUAAUACCGCAUACGACCUACGGGUGAAAGUAGGGGAUCUUCGGACCUUGCGCGAUUGAAUGAGCCGAUGUCGGAUUAGCUAGUUGGCGGGGUAAAGGCCCACCAAGGCGACGAUCCGUAGCUGGUCUGAGAGGAUGAUCAGCCACACUGGAACUGAGACACGGUCCAGACUCCUACGGGAGGCAGCAGUGGGGAAUAUUGGACAAUGGGCGCAAGCCUGAUCCAGCCAUACCGCGUGGGUGAAGAAGGCCUUCGGGUAGUAAAGCCCUUUUGUUGGGAAAGAAAAGCAGCAGGUUAAUACCCCGCUGUUCUGACGGUACCCAAAGAAUAAGCACCGGCUAACUUCGUG